This 497-nucleotide ribosomal RNA is filed under the name uncultured bacterium. RNAcentral's name for it is "partial 16S ribosomal RNA". It matches the Rfam family "Bacterial small subunit ribosomal RNA", at positions 28 to 507 of the family's 1533-position model. The record is from RNAcentral.
GACGAACGCUGGCGGCGUGCCUAAUACAUGCAAGUUGAGCGCUGAAGGUUGGUACUUGUACCGACUGGAUGAGCAGCGAACGGGUGAGUAACGCGUGGGGAAUCUGCCUUUGAGCGGGGGACAACAUUUGGAAACGAAUGCUAAUACCGCAUAAAAACUUUAAACACAAGUUUUAAGUUUGAAAGAUGCAAUUGCAUCACUCAAAGAUGAUCCCGCGUUGUAUUAGCUAGUUGGUGAGGUAAAGGCUCACCAAGGCGAUGAUACAUAGCCGACCUGAGAGGGUGAUCGGCCACAUUGGGACUGAGACACGGCCCAAACUCCUACGGGAGGCAGCAGUAGGGAAUCUUCGGCGAUAGACGAAAGUCUGACCGAGCAACGCCGCGUGAGUGAAGAAGGUUUUCGGAUCGUAAAACUCUGUUGGUAGAGAAGAACGUUGGUGAGAGUGGAAAGCUCAUCAAGUGACGGUAACUACCCAGAAAGGGACGGCUAACUACGUG